Molecule: ribosomal RNA, 475 nt
Filed under: uncultured bacterium
Lineage: Bacteria
Description: partial 16S ribosomal RNA
Rfam family: Bacterial small subunit ribosomal RNA
Source: RNAcentral
AAUGAACGCUGGCGGCAGGCCUAACACAUGCAAGUCGAACGGAACCUUCGGGAUCAGGGGCGGGCGGGUGGGUAACGCGUGGGAACAUACCCGUUGGUACGGAAUAGCCUCGGGAAACUGGGAGUAAUACCGUAUGUAGUCGAUAGACGAAAGAUUUAUCGCAAAAGGAUUGGCCCGCGUUGGAUUAGGUAGUUGGUGGGGUAAUGGCCUACCAAGCCGACGAACUGUAGCUGGUCUGAGAGGACGACCAGCCACACUGGGACGUGAGACACGGCCCAGACUCCUACAGGAGGCAGCAGUGGGGAAUUUUGGACAAUGGGCGCAAGCCUGAUCCAGCCAUUCCGCGUGCAGGACGAAGGCCUUCGGGUUGUAAACUGCUUUUGUACGGAACGAAAAGGCUCUGGUUAAUACCUGGGGCUCAUGACGGUACCGUAAGAAUAAGCACCGGCUAACUACGUGCCAGCAGCCGCAGUAA